AGAGCCUGUGACAAUGAUGAUGACGUAAGUCGUCACGUUUCUGAUGAUGACGAAUGUGGAAAAACUGGAACAAAAGGUGUGUUUCCUGGACACCUCCUUCUGGAUGAGUUUCAGCUGGAAGGAGGCCUUAAAGGAAGGCCCAGAGUCCACUGGAAGGGUUGUUAUAUAUCCAGUCUGGUCUGGGAAUGCCGAGCGAUCUCACAGGAGGAGUCACCCCCAAUUUCCUUCGCAUCCAGAACGGCAGCGAAAAGGUUGUAUGCGCCGAUCACAGCUGAUUGUUUCCAUUCAAGUUAAUGUGUCAAACUCCACCAGCUUCUUUCCGUUCCACUGCCGUUCAGCGGACUCUACAGCCGAUCACCAUAGUUCUAUUUUUUCUGGAGUCGGGCACAGACACAAAAUAAAACAUCCGUCUUCUUUUCAAAAUAAAACACGACGUGUUUCAGGCAGAUCGUAUUUCACACCAUACAAACGUGGGCAGGGGCGAACAUGUGAAAGGUUUUCAGAUGCAGUUUCACCCCGAUGACACCAUGGAUGAGGAGAUGCUGAUUCUAGAAGUCGAGAAGUUGAUUUCCUCCUCUGGAAGAACACAAUCUACUGCUUGUAUGGUUAUGUUGCUGUCUUUAUAGAGACAACUCUUUAUCCAACGAUUGCAUGUGAAUCUGCGGGAUCUUGUGAGUUCUCGCGAUUCUCGUUUGUCCCAAAUCUGCCAUGAAAUUCACCUCACAAACACAUCCGGUAGGAAUUUGGUGGAUGGUGAAAAUUGCCACCGUUCCGUAGCAGAGCUGUUCCAGAUGUGGUGGAAAUUGGGGGUUAGACUGCUGCCCUACAACCUGAGCAAAGCACACAAGUCUAAGGGACAUCCUCAGUCGACAUCCUGGUAGUCAUGCGUUACUAUCGUAGGAAACAACCAUUUUUUUUCUCCUACUAAAACUGUGUAAAACAAAGAAAGCACCCAAAAUGGAAGUCCUGAAAAGUGCAAACUCUGUUAAAUUUACCAGGGUUCAUUGGACACUGGUUGAUGGAUUUGCCUGGUCCAGAUGUGGUAACUUGAAGUCCAGAGAACGAACACACUGGGGGACAAAAUGUUGGCGGUUCAGAGUCAAAGUCAAAGUAGGUGGUCACACAAAGUCUGAGUUCCUUUUAAAAACUUUUGUCUCUAUUGAUACCCGAUCUUAACUAUGAGAUUUGCUCGGUCUAAGUAAGUUGGGUCUGCAGAGUUGUGUUUGCCAACCCCCUGAGACCACAACAGUCCAUAAUUGUAUCUUGUUUUUGAAGACUUAUACACUGUAGAGUUUCAUAUUCUUGUGUCCAGGUCUAGCGUCUCAUGGCCGAUCCUCGUCUUUGCUUACUUCCUUGGCUGUCCCUGUCCUCCUCU
This is a non-coding RNA of Xyrichtys novacula (pearly razorfish), 1375 nucleotides long. Lineage: Eukaryota; Metazoa; Chordata; Actinopteri; Labriformes; Labridae. The record is from the annotation of a GenBank genome assembly.